UGGGUUGUGGCUCAGAGGUAGAGUGCGUGCCUAAUAUGCAUGGGGCAUUGAGUUUGAUCCUCAACACCACAU
This 72-nucleotide transfer RNA is filed under the name Ictidomys tridecemlineatus (thirteen-lined ground squirrel). Its description in RNAcentral is "Spermophilus tridecemlineatus (thirteen-lined ground squirrel) tRNA". It matches the Rfam family "tRNA". From Rfam's summary of the family: Transfer RNA (tRNA) molecules are approximately 80 nucleotides in length. Their secondary structure includes four short double-helical elements and three loops (D, anti-codon, and T loops). Further hydrogen bonds mediate the characteristic L-shaped molecular structure. tRNAs have two regions of fundamental functional importance: the anti-codon, which is responsible for specific mRNA codon recognition, and the 3' end, to which the tRNAs corresponding amino acid is attached (by aminoacyl-tRNA synthetases). tRNAs cope with the degeneracy of the genetic code in two manners: having more than one tRNA (with a specific anti-codon) for a particular amino acid; and 'wobble' base-pairing, i.e. permitting non-standard base-pairing at the 3rd anti-codon position. The record is from Rfam by way of RNAcentral. Lineage: Eukaryota; Metazoa; Chordata; Mammalia; Rodentia; Sciuridae.